RNAcentral lists this ribosomal RNA (403 nucleotides) under uncultured bacterium. RNAcentral describes it as "bacterial SSU rRNA". It matches the Rfam family "Bacterial small subunit ribosomal RNA", at positions 791 to 1192 of the family's 1533-position model. The record is from RNAcentral.
UAGUCCACGCCGUAAACGAUGUAUGCUUGGUGUUAGAACAAAUUGUUGUUCUAGUGCCGGAGAUAAUUCGUUAAGCAUACCACCUGGGAAGUACGAUCGCAAGGUUGAAACUCAAAGGAAUUGACGGGGGCCCGCACAAGCGGUGGAUUAUGUGGUUUAAUUCGAUGCAACGCGAAGAACCUUACCCAGGCUUGAAGUGUAACGGACUGCUUCUGAAAGGAAGCUUCCCUUCGGGGUCGUUACAGAGGUGCUGCAUGGCUGUCGUCAGCUCGUGCCGUGAGGUGUUGGGUUAAGUCCCGCAACGAGCGCAACCUUUGCCGCCAGUUACCAGCAUGUAAUGAUGGGGACUCUGGCGGGACUGCCAUCGUAAGAUGAGAGGAAGGUGGGGAUGGACGUCAAAUCA